CAAUGAAGGUAGCAUGGUAAGGUGCACAGAAAUUGAAUCUUAUGGGUUGACAUGUCUGCCCCUCUGAUGCCUCUACUGGAGGCUUUGAUUUUGGGGCCUGGUUAUGACCCACAUUU
This is a small nucleolar RNA of Manihot esculenta (cassava), 116 nucleotides long. RefSeq annotates it as small nucleolar RNA snoR100. The record is from RefSeq and is a predicted model, not a curated record. The transcript has a single exon. Lineage: Eukaryota; Viridiplantae; Streptophyta; Magnoliopsida; Malpighiales; Euphorbiaceae.